Molecule: non-coding RNA, 79 nt
Organism: Podarcis lilfordi (Lilford's wall lizard)
Lineage: Eukaryota; Metazoa; Chordata; Lepidosauria; Squamata; Lacertidae
Source: the annotation of a GenBank genome assembly
GCCAUAGUUCAGUGGUAGAGCAUCUGCCUUGCAUGCAGAAGGCCUCUGGUUCAGUCUGUGGCAUUUCCAGGUAGGAGAA